Molecule: ribosomal RNA, 449 nt
Filed under: uncultured bacterium
Lineage: Bacteria
Description: bacterial SSU rRNA
Rfam family: Bacterial small subunit ribosomal RNA
Source: RNAcentral
UUCCAGACUCCUACGGGAGGCAGCAGUCGGGAAUAUUGCGCAAUGGAGGAAACUCUGACGCAGUGACGCCGCGUGCAGGGAGAAGGUUUUCGGAUUGUAAACUGCUUUAGACAGGGAAGAAACAAGACAGUACCUGUAGAAUAAGCUCCGGCUAACUACGUGCCAGCAGCCGCGGUAAUACGUAGGGAGCAAGCGUUAUCCGGAUUUAUUGGGUGUAAAGGGUGCGUAGACGGGAAAACAAGUUAGUUGUGAAAUCCCUCGGCUUAACUGAGGAACUGCAACUAAAACUAUUUUUCUUGAGUGUUGGAGAGGAAAGUGGAAUUCCUAGUGUAGCGGUGAAAUGCGUAGAUAUUAGGAGGAACACCAGUGGCGAAGGCGGCCCCCUGGACGAAGACUGACGCUCAGGUGCGAAAGCGUGGGGAGCAAACAGGAUUAGAUACCCGGGUAGG